RNAcentral lists this ribosomal RNA (135 nucleotides) under uncultured bacterium. Its description in RNAcentral is "partial 16S ribosomal RNA". It matches the Rfam family "Bacterial small subunit ribosomal RNA", at positions 335 to 487 of the family's 1533-position model. The record is from RNAcentral.
ACUCCUACGGGAGGCAGCAGUGAGGAAUCUUCCACAAUGGGCGAAAGCCUGAUGGAGCAACGCCGCGUGCAGGAUGAAGGCCUUCGGGUUGUAAACUGCUUUUAUUUGUGAAGAAUAUGACGGUAACAAAGAAUA